GAUGAACGCUAGCUACAGGCUUAACACAUGCAAGUCGAGGGGUAACGAGAGGAAAGCUUGCUUUCCUUGUCGACGACCGGCGCACGGGUGAGUAACGCGUAUCCAACCUGCCCCCAACUAAGGAAUAACCUUGCGAAAGUAAGACUAAUACCUUAUAAUUUCCUCAGAUGUCAUCUGACGAGGAAUAAAGAUUUAUCGGUUGUGGAUGGGGAUGCGUCUGAUUAGCUUGUUGGCGGGGUAACGGCCCACCAAGGCAACGAUCAGUAGGGGUUCUGGGAGGAAGGUCACCCACAUUGGAACUGAGACACGGUCCAAACUCCUACGGGAGGCAGCAGUGAGGAAUAUUGGUCAAUGGGCGAAAGCCUGAACCAGCCAAGUAGCGUGCAGGAUGACGGCCCUAUGGGUUGUAAACUGCUUUUAUACAGGAAUAAAGUUAGCCACGUGUGGUUAUUUGUAGGUACUGUAUGAAUAAGGACCGGCUAAUUCCGUGCCAGCCGCCGCAGUAA
RNAcentral lists this ribosomal RNA (506 nucleotides) under uncultured bacterium. RNAcentral's name for it is "partial 16S ribosomal RNA". It matches the Rfam family "Bacterial small subunit ribosomal RNA", at positions 28 to 523 of the family's 1533-position model. The record is from RNAcentral.